CCCUUAGACGUUCUGGGCCGCACGCGCGCUACACUGACCAGUGCAACAAGCAUCCGUCCUUGGCCGACAGGCUCGGGCAAUCUUUGAACGCUGGUCGUGAUGGGGAUAGACUUUUGCAAUUUUUGGUCUUCAACGAGGAAUUCCUAGUAAACGCAAGUCAUCAACUUGCAUUGAUUACGUCCCUGCCCUUUGUACACUCCGCCCGUCGCACCUACCGAUUGAAUGGUCCGGUGAAGCCUCCGGAUUGGCGCGCACCUCGGUGCCGCCGAGAAGUUGGCUAAACCUUACCAUUUAGAGGAAGGUGAANUCGUAACA
Molecule: ribosomal RNA, 315 nt
Filed under: uncultured eukaryote
Lineage: Eukaryota
Description: partial 18S ribosomal RNA
Rfam family: Eukaryotic small subunit ribosomal RNA
Source: RNAcentral